Molecule: long non-coding RNA, 2305 nt
Organism: Calidris pugnax (ruff)
Lineage: Eukaryota; Metazoa; Chordata; Aves; Charadriiformes; Scolopacidae
Exons: 10
Source: RefSeq, a predicted model, not a curated record
UGCAAAGCCAUGCUUUUUUUUUUUUAAAUCCCUGAAUAUAGAAAUAUACAUUUUUGCAUGUUCUGCUGAGAAGCCUGACCCAAGGGAACCUGCAUGAAAGGAGUGGAUGUGGGUGUACCAUCUCCACAGCAACAAAAACUCCAGAGAAAUGGAGGGCAGGCUUUGCCAAGGCAGCUCUUCACCUGGAGGACUGGGAUGAGUGAGGGUGACUGAGAGGGCAGUGAUUGUAAGACAUGGCUUGUUCUGGAGGACUGCAGGGCCAUUUGUGCUUCCAGCUCUGGAGAAUGUGUGCUCCUCUCCAGUCAAAUGUUUUCCUGUCACUGGGAGGUGACAGCAGGGUUGUUCCUCCAACCUCAAAACAGAUCCCAGUGCUGCAACCUCCAGUGAGUUCUGCAGAGCCCAAUAUCAUGUCCCAGCUCUUUGUCACAUCCCUGCUCUGGCACAGGGAAGCCUUUGGACCUAAAUAUAACUCUGGUCUGAGGGCUCUGCCAAUGCAGUGAGCAUUAUAUCAAGUUGUAGAAAUCUGCAUUUUGUUCCCCAGCAGCUCCCCAUACUCAGGUUACUAAGGUUAAUGUAUAUAACAGCAUCUGCUUGGUCUCAUUCCCAGUGGACAGCUGAACAUGUUGGCCCCUUUUGUUUCCUGUUUUGCAGGUUUACUUGUAGGAGUCAUUUUAGAGAUGCAAUGAGAGACAUGGAUGUCCGUGUGCUGCAUCUCAGGAAAGUUUGCAGCAUUGCUUUGUUUCUGUUUGGUCAGUAAAUGUUCAUUGGUUCCCAUGGGAACACAGAAAUUUUCCUUCUACCCUUAUGAGAAAGAUGAACAAGAGGCUCAUCAACACAUAAGCAAACCCCAGAGGACUUGUGCUUCUUCACUGCCCUGGCGUGGUGGAACAGUGACUUCUCUACACACUCUGCAACCUUACACACAACAACAGUAUUGCGGAGCCAGCUGGGAAACACAGAUGAAGGAGAUCUCUUUCCAACAGCCCUGUUUUAGGAACCCACCCACUCAGGGCAGAAGUUUGAGAGAAAAUUGAGUUUUGCUGAAGAGCGUCACCCAAAUGGGCACAAAGCCCGGCCAAUGCCCACUGGUCUGAAAGAGAGUGAGUUCUGGUAUAUAAAACUGCUAUUCAAGGGCCCUAUGGAUCCACACAACGUCCAUGAAGGCGAGGUUUAUUUUCACCCUGGAGUGCAGUCACACUCCCACUUCAAGUCUGCCAGGAUCAGCAGCAAUCCUUAUGGAAGUGACCCAACUGUGCAGACAGCCCCAUAAAGAUGAAAAGAAGCUUCAGGAAUAAAAAAAGAGUCAGAAAAGGAUGCAGUCCCCACCUCACUGGGGUGACCAACUGGUUGCAUAGGACCACAUCAUGUGAAAGGGUGUUUUCAAUAGGGAGACCAAAGCCUGGAGUAUUUUCUGCAGCUCUGAUUGCUGGUGUUGAAGAUGCAGUUCAGUGGAUGCAGGUGCAGACGGGAUCACAAGGACAGGCAGAGGGAUGGGGACAUUGCCAUUGAGAAGAAGGGCCUUUUCAUCAAGGAGCACUCUCUAAAGGCGGGGGAAAAAGUCAAGCAGAGAGCAGGUGGUGUAGGAAGCCAGAGUCAACCUGCUGCAGGAGGAGUUGCUGAGCGUGCUGAGCCGUGCUGAAGAUGCCCUAACAAGAUGUUGCCUGGUCGGAAGAAGGAGAGGUCCAGACGGGUGGUGUUUAAUCCUCAGAUUAAACUAACCUGGAAGAUGUGAGAAGUCGCUAAUGAAUUACAGCCUUAAUAGCCAUUGACAGGACCAGACUGGAGCUUUUCAAAGUAAAGCAUCCUGACUCAUGGACGGUGCCGACUUUGGUCCUGGGUUAACGGUUCCGUCCCUCUACAGAUCUGCUCCUACUGCACUGCAUUACUUGUAAAGACAGACACAGCCUUUUCUGCACUCAUUUUCUGCCUUUGACUCCUUGUGCACAGCAGAGUCUUCACGACAAUCCAGGUGUUUUCCAUCCGGCUGGAGCCGCUAGUUGCCGAAUUCAAGGAGCCUGGUUCAUUACUACCUGUGUCAUUUGCCUGACCUUGCCCCGAGACCGCAGUGGGAGCAUAACAAGACCACCAAAGGCUGAGAAUCAACCUCUUCCCUGGUCUUCAUGGUUAAACAUGCCAAACUGAACACGGCUGGAGUCCUUGCUGAGCUGCAUGUUUUGGGUUUCCUACCUGCUGAGGGGAGGUAUGUGUCCUCAUUUACCAGGCUGGGUGUGAAGUCUGCAAUUCUCUUCAAGGCAUUCUGCCUCUUUCCCUCUUUAUCCUCUGCUCCUCCGGAGUUUCUGCAUCU